AAGUGCCUCUAAACUCUCUAGACAAAAGAACAAGAAUGUUGAAAUUUAUAGAUGGAUCUUCCUGAUGAAGAACCUGAUCGAUUAAGCAACAAACUGUUGCAGUAUGACCCCAGCCAAGAUCAAUGGAGUGUGCGGGCACCCAUGAAGUACUCUAAGUACCGAUUCAGUACAGCUGUAGUCAACAGUGAGAUUUAUGUUUUGGGUGGCAUUGGCUGUGUAGGUCGAGACAAGGGCCAGGUUCGAAAAUGCCUUGACGUGGUGGAGAUCUACAACCCAGAUGGGGACUUUUGGCGAGAGGGCCCUCCCAUGCCAAGUCCCCUCCUCUCACUCCGCACCAAUUCCACCAAUGCAGGGGCAGUGGAUGGGAAACUCUAUGUCUGCGGGGGAUUCCAUGGAGCAGAUCGCCAUGAGGUUAUCUCCAAAGAAAUAUUGGAACUGGACCCAUGGGAAAACCAGUGGAAUGUUGUAGCCAUCAACGUCCUCAUGCAUGACAGCUAUGAUGUCUGCCUGGUAGCCAGGAUGAAUCCCCGAGACCUCAUCCCCCCACCUUCAGAUUUGGUGGAAGAAGGCAAUGAGCACUGAGGUGACCUUGCUGGAGGACC
RNAcentral lists this small RNA (602 nucleotides) under Pongo abelii (Sumatran orangutan). Its description in RNAcentral is "processed transcript". Lineage: Eukaryota; Metazoa; Chordata; Mammalia; Primates; Hominidae. The record is from RNAcentral.